Long non-coding RNA from Esox lucius (northern pike), 1149 nucleotides. RefSeq lists it as uncharacterized. NCBI's taxonomy places the organism in Eukaryota, Metazoa, Chordata, Actinopteri, Esociformes, Esocidae. The record is from RefSeq and is a predicted model, not a curated record. The transcript has 4 exons.
AUAAUCAAAUAUUUACAAAACUGAGGGGUGUACUCACUUUUGUGAGAUACUGUAUAUUAGGUUAAUGUUCAUCGUGGACUGAGCUUUUUUUUAUUAGGCUGAAGUAUUUUGACAUAUUUAUGGAUAUGUUGUUAGGCUCAAUAAAGUUGUGGGUCCACCAGCCCCACAAACAUUGGGUGACAUGCAUUUUAUAUAUGUCUUUCUUGUCUUCUGGAAAGCACUUUGUUGGCUUGUGUAUGAAAAUGUGCUAUGCAAAUACAUUUGACUUGACUAACUAAAAUACUAACACCACGCAAGGGUUAAAUAUCACGACACUAUUCAGAUAUCCAGGAAACUUCAUUGAAACCUGCGCGUAAACGAAUUCAAGCGUAAAAAGUGGGGGGGGAAUUAUAUGAAUACAACAACCCUUGACGUUUGUGGUAAAGGUAAGGUAUUCUGAAUUUAUCCAGAAAGAUCGAGAAGUGGGCGUGGCUAGAACGAUUCUGCGCAGUGUUGCACGAUGGAAAGGUUCCCGCCGAAGAAGGCCUUUUGAAAAAUCCACUGUCUGAACGAGACAGUCAAACACAAUCAACGGUUCUGAAAGAUUAUAUGAAAGGAGAAUAUUGAAGAAAAUUGGAACUAAGGAGCUGUGGGCAGGCUACUAUUUGAAGGGCAGGAUGCAGAAUGCUGUCACAUAGGUGCUGCCCUGAAAGCCUACCCAAAGCCCACCUACCUAGAGGUAGAUGAAAAGAUUGCAGACACCCUCAAGCAUGCACCUGCUCGGCUGAAGAGUAAGAGAAAGGAGCAGAUUGGACAAGAUGUUGAGGAGGAGGGCACAGAUGAAGAACCAGCACCUGAAUAAAUUAGACUUUUUUUUUUUUAGCAGUACCAACUUUAGUGUGGUAGGAUAUUUUAGGUAUUGUUUAAAUAAAUUGCUCAAGCAGUACCAACAAGUUCAAUGAUUUAAGUCUUUAUUCACUGAGGUCAGGGGAGGUUCCAAUACACUGUAUACAAACCAUACAUGCAGAGGACUGAAUCAUUAACUAUAGUUUAACAUCCUUUCUCAUACCAUUUCUAGACAUUUGUUAUAACAUGAUUGGUUCAAAAUAUUUUGUAUACUCUGAUGAUUGUGACAACAAAAGAGAAAAAGAUUAGGAAUAGAAUUUCCAU